Oenanthe melanoleuca is the source of this 2774-nucleotide long non-coding RNA. RefSeq lists it as uncharacterized. Lineage: Eukaryota; Metazoa; Chordata; Aves; Passeriformes; Muscicapidae. The record is from RefSeq and is a predicted model, not a curated record. The transcript is spliced from 3 exons.
AUCCAUUGAGGCAAAACCCACUCUCCUACUACUGGCUAUCAGUGCUCCUAUGGGCUUCACCACAGCUCCCAGCAUGGAGCAAGCCCCAGCGUGACAAGCUUCACCGCUGGCCGAGGGGCUUGACAGACGAGCAGACAGACAGACAGACAGCCCUCCACAUCACAGCAAAUUCUCCCAGCAAGGGGGAGUCUGCAUGCGAGUGGCUCAGCACUGGAUGUGAUCUGCAAUUCAGCCUUCAAAGGCUUUGUGGCUGUAGCACAUUGUCUCCUCAGCAGAAGCAGCAAAAUAAUGGUAGAAUUAAGUUCCCAGGAACAAUUAAAAAGAAAACAAGAAAAAACAUCCCAACUCUAAAUGUAAAAGGACAUCUCAAAGCCAGCAGAUUUCAGGGCUUUUUAAAGCAUCUGAAUCCAUUUGCCCGCCCCUGUGGCUGCACUGUGUUUCAUUUCACUGGGCUCAUACAAUGCAGGACACGAAAUUAACUUGGGUGUUUGUUUAGAGCCGGUUUGUCUUCCAGUUACUUUCCAAAGCCAGGUUUGAGUUGCAAAGAUGUUUCUUGGCAAUGCCUGGGGUUCUCACUGUCGGGAAGGUGCGGGGCUUUCCCCAGGGGAAACAGAGGCUCAGAAAUCACACACAACCUGGGGUCUCCUUGGAAGCAAGGCAAGAGGUGGAGCACAACCCAACUUGUCUGCAGUGAACAUGGGGUUUUCUGCUGUGAGCCUCCUCUCCCUUUUAUUUAUUCCAAAGAUAAACUGUUUUCUUUUCCAAAGUCCAGCAAAACCAGAUGACAGGAGCAGUUUUAUGGCUUCCAGUUUCAACAUCUUCAUGUUUCUUUUGCUUUCCCUCCAACAAAGCUUCAAUUUGGGGUCAAACCCAAUUUUGAUAUUCCACUUUGCAUUCAAAACUGCAUGGCACAAAGCAGUAACAUCUGGCCUUUCCCACAGUUGUUUGCAUACCACCAACUUUGCUGCCCCAAAAUCAGAUCCCCGCACGAUUUACAUGGGCUGGGCUUUGCAGCAGGCAAACAGUCACCCUCCAUCAGGUAACGGAGGUGGGAUUGUACCUGGAGGGAUCUUUUAAUCAACAAGAAAAGCAGAAGCCAGAGCACACCCUGAAUGACGAAGCUGCAUCCCGGCCCCCACACGGGUCAGUUCCCUGUGCCUGAAACCCUCAGCCUCCUCCAUCUCUGAACAGGAGGAAAGAGGGGGUGGAUUUGGUGAUGACCUUGCUAUGGCAGAGCCCUCAUGCUCGUAAACCACGAGGAGCAGGUGGCACAGCCAGCCAGGGAGGAAUGGAGAUGGCAGCAUUUCCUCCUGAUCACCAGCCAGGUAGGGAGCUCUGACCUUUGAACAGGAACCCACCCAGCACCUCUGUCAGAGGGGGUAUAUAAAAUGUCUGAGGACAUCACUUGCCCCCCCAAGAGGCAGCAGGUCCCCAGGACAGGUCUCCUCUCACAAAACCACCCAUCACAUGAGCUGCUUCCCAACAAGUCUCGUCAAGAUGCCAAGCAGAGCCGGCGGGCAAGUGCAGGGAAAUUCCCCACACGCGGCCAGGCGAGGCUGGCACCACAUCUCCCCUGCACCCAGCGCUGCCCUCCUGCACAGGGUGCCCGCAGAGGCCCCUCACCAGCCUUGCUCAGCACACCUGGAAGCUUUUUCCUGGCACAUGACCUGCCAGAUUUGCUGAAUAAACCUCCCAGCUCCGCUGCAUUCCUGGCCAGGCACAAGUCACUGGCCCACCUGGGCACUGACGGAGAGAGCAAAGAGAGCCCCAAAUUCCAAUGCUGCAGGUACUUUCUACCUUUGGAUUGGCACGAAGAUGCAGAGAAGCCCCCAGCACAGCCUGGUCUGCUUUGCCUAGGGGCCAUCUGCAGCCCCCACAGCAAUGCAUCCCGAAGAGAUGAAUCUCAGCGAGUCAAGGCUCAGACAAGCCACAUUCCAUGACCACCCCCUCAUUUCCAAAGGGAAGGAGAAGGGGGCAGGGAUUGCACUGCACCACCUGCAUCGGUUUAGUACCUCAUCCCAGCGAUCUGAAACACCAGCUGACCCCAGGUAACGCUCAGCCUUCCCAAAAACCACCAACAAUUCUCAUCCCUACAGAUCCCUGAUCCCCCCAGCCUGCUGGGGAAGGAAUGAGCUGUAUCCAGCCCUCCCUGACAGAGCUGCUGCCUUGUCUGUCCACAACUCCUAUCAUCGUGUGCCCUCACACCCCCAGCAUGUUCCCUCAUCACUCCUACCCAGAUUCCCCCAGAUCCACCUCACCCCACACUCUAAACCUGACCCCAAAGAAAGCUCCUGCACUGCCACCAGAUCCAGUAUAUCCCACUUCCCCUCCUACUCAUCAUCCCCAAAUCCUCACCUGCAUCAGACCUACUCUGAACCCCUCUCUACGCUGCUUCCAAGGCUCUGCUCUCUUGUUUCCCCCAAGAUUAUUCCCUGGAUUUCAACCACAGUAGGUCAGAGCCCUGCUCCUCUUUCUCUGGACCUCUCCUAUGAACAGCACCCGCACCCAGCACCCCAGAUCCUGCCUGUGGACUCAGCACCCGGAUCCAGCACCCGAGCAGACAGAACCACCAUUCCAAAUCCUGCUCGUGGACCCGGACCAAGACCCGGCACGCCAGAUCCAGCAACUCAACCCUGCCUGUGAAUUCAGCACCCGCACCCAGCGCCCCUAAACCUGCCUGCGGACCCAGCAGCUGGGAUCCAGCACCCCAAACCCUGCCUGCAGACCCAGACCCGAUCCUGAGCCAGCACCCAGGACCCACCGAGCGAUUCAAG